GAAAUGCGAUAAGUAAUGUGAAUUGCAGAAUUCAGUGAAUCAUCGAAUCUUUGAACGCACAUUGCGCCCGCCAGUAUUCUGGCGGGCAUGCCUGUUCGAGCGUCAUUACAACCCUCAGGCCCCCGGGCCUGGCGUUGGGGAUCGGCGGAAGCCCCCUGCGGGCACAACGCCGUCCCCCGAAUACAGUGGCGGUCCCGCCGCAGCUUCCAUUGCGUAGUAGCUAACACCUCGCAACUGGAGAGCGGCGCGGCCACGCCGUAAAACACCCAACUUCUGAAUGUUGACCUCGAAUCAGGUAGGGAUACCCGCUGAACUUAAGC
RNAcentral lists this unclassified non-coding RNA (320 nucleotides) under plant metagenome. RNAcentral describes it as "partial contains 5.8S ribosomal RNA, internal transcribed spacer 2, and large subunit ribosomal RNA". The stretch from base 1 to 105 matches the Rfam family "5.8S ribosomal RNA", at positions 50 to 154 of the family's 154-position model. The record is from RNAcentral.